RNAcentral lists this ribosomal RNA (57 nucleotides) under Dactylellina cionopaga. RNAcentral describes it as "partial 28S ribosomal RNA". The record is from RNAcentral. Lineage: Eukaryota; Fungi; Ascomycota; Orbiliomycetes; Orbiliales; Orbiliaceae.
UGACCUCAGAUCAGAUAAGGAUACCCGCUGAACUUAAGCAUAUCAAUAAGCGAGAAA